Arachis stenosperma is the source of this 2218-nucleotide long non-coding RNA. RefSeq lists it as uncharacterized. The record is from RefSeq and is a predicted model, not a curated record. The transcript is spliced from 4 exons. Lineage: Eukaryota; Viridiplantae; Streptophyta; Magnoliopsida; Fabales; Fabaceae.
AAUUUCAAAAACACUUUUAUUAUUCUCUCUAGACUUAGGAACUCCAGAUCUUUCUGCAUUUUUAUUGAGCUUUGCUGCUGGGUGUGAAAACCCUUACCUUUCUUCAAACCUUCACUCUCUCUAGCUCCUAACCUCCUUUUUUCUCUCACAAGUAAUAAAUAUGUCGCCUUACUGUGUUUUGCCCUUCCUCUCUCAUCCUGCUCUCACUUCUACUAUUUUCAAUAGUCCACUUUACUCGUUUUACAGAGUCUGAAGAAGAUGGCAAUAAAUACACACCGACAAAAAAUUUUGCAAAUCUGAGCAGAACCAACAGAGAUAAGAAGAUUUAUAGAAAGCAGAUGCAAGCGGUGGACCAGCGGUGAAAAGUAUAAAGCUAGUAGUGGUUCAGUGACAAAGAUGCAGAAACAACUGUCGUGAGAGCCGAUGGGUGCUCCUCUCUCUCUCUCUCUCUCUCUCUCUCUCUCUCUCUCUCUCUCUCUCUCUCUCUCUCUCUCUCUCUCUCUCUCUCUCUCUCUCUCUCUCUCUCUCUCCCGCUUGCUAUCGCCCAUACUAGCUAUCUUGCGCACCUUCGUCUCCACCUUUCCCUUCAUGACGACGCCUUUCUGACUAUGUGUGGUGUGCCAUCGUCGCGUUGGGUGGUUCUGUCAUUGUGGACAUCGUCGUUUUCUUCAGCUGGUUUUGUUCCCCAUCACGUAAGAUCGCCAGUGUUCAGAGCUCAUGUUCCGCAUUCAGGUAGGUUAGUUGCUAAAUCAGAAGCUCCAAUUGCAGUUCUGGAAUUGUUGUUGUGAUUUGAAUUUGUCACGGUUUUGUUGCUGAACCUGGAAUUUGAAAUUUGUAUAAUUAAAUUGUUAAUUUUGGAUUAGAAAUUAUUGACUGUAAUUUUGUUGAUGUUUUUUUUAUAUGAACCUGUUGUUGUCGAAGAGGAAUUUGCAUAACUGUUUAUUCUAUUUUUGCUUCAUUCUGCUGCUUUUGCUUCAUUCUGUUUCUAUUUUUUCUUAAUUUGAUUGUACUGAUUAUGAGUUCUGAUUAUAUAUAUUUUUUUUGUAAUUAUUUUGCUUGUAAUUAACUGAUUAUGUUAUAGUAAAAAUUCUAUUUUUGAUUAUGUUAGUCUGGAUUUGUGUUGAUUAAAGAAUAAAAAUAGGGACUUAACUGAUUAGGGAACAUGUUGAUAUUGGAAGGGUGGUGACAAAGGAGGAGGAUGAGGAGAUGGUAAUCGAAGUGGAGGGAGUGGUGAAAGGUAGUGAGGGUGUGAAAAUUAUAAGUGUAGGGUGUAAACCUCGCAAAUUUAGAAAAUAAUUAAAAGAAAAUUAAAUUUUAAUAAAAAAAUUAAAAAUGUAAAUCUAAUAUUAAAAUAGGAUAGAGCUAAUUAAAAUGAGAAUUUUGACACCAAUUUUAAAGAAAUCGGCUCAAAAUUAGGUCGAACGGACUAAACCAAUUGAACCGGACUCAAACCGGACCUGUGGGCCCCACCCACUCACUUAAUAAAGUGAGUUCAGAUCUUCUUUCUCCCUUCUUGCAUGCUAAACAUGCUGCAUGGCAGCCAUAGAAGAGGAGAAGAAGCAAACCCUCACCUAAACUUCAAUCCUUGAUAACUUUUGAUCCAGAGCUCUAAUCGCUGCACCGUUUGCGACCACGCGUCCGUGGCGUUGAGCUCUACAAAGUCCUGUAUCUUUCAUGGAUCAAAUUGAGUUGAGGAAUGAGCGAGCUUUGGGUUGAUUGAGGCACGUAUAAGGUGUGAAUUAAGUAGAUAUAUAUGAAUUGGAGUUGAAUUGUGGGCAUUUGAAAGCUUGGUGGUGAUUGAAGCUAAGCUUGCAGCUGGUUUCUCUAAACUUGAGGGGCUGCCUUGGACUAAAUAUAGUAAUCGGCCAAGAUGCAGGUCGAGCGGCUCCUCGGUAGGCGUCUGAAGGUUCUACGGCAAAGUGGUUUAUUUUGGGAUCUCCUUUUGUUAUUUUGAUGUAUAUAUAUGUAUAGUUUCUCCUCUUGUAUGUAAGAAUACUUUGUUUAUGUACCACUUAGAGGUUUUAUGGAGAACUAGGGUUUUGAACAUGUUCUUUUGGGUUAUUAUUAUGUAUAUAUAUGUACGUAUAUGUUCUCCGACCAGCCUUGGCUUCGCAGGAUGAGUCAGAAGCUAGUUAUGCUGUGUUCUUGGCCCUCUACUCGUAUCAUUUGUACAUAUAUGUUAUUGAAUUUUAGUUUUCUUCUCACGCAAGUAACCACG